CGGUUUUCUCAGUUUACCGCCUUCGUCAACAGAGAGUAUCUAUGUUCUCAAUCUCGUGCGCGUACACAGAUCCACCGUGUUUCUAUUUCAUCUUUAUUGCGUCCAGUCCAUUUUCUUACGGCUUAUCGUCAUCGAUCACCAGACGCUGUUACAUCAACGAUUAGGGCGCAACGAAUAACGAUACGCGUUAUCGUGCACGAACCGAGAUAUUUCUCGCACCGCUCCAUACAUCAUUAUCAGCCCGAUGCGAUGACCGAUUUUCUAGGGUGGAAAAAUCGGGGGUUCGUCGAAACAAUAAUUCGGAAGGCUUGGAACGUUCGGAUAGACGCCCCGGCUGAGUUUUCCGACGACUCUAGCCCAGACGGGAAGAGGAAGCAACGUCGCGACUCGGUACUUGGCACUCGGACAAGUGGCAAAGGAUUUAAAUUCCGAGUCGGUGACGACAUUCGCCGUAUUCUACGUUUCGUCACUCUCGUUGGCCCACGCAGAUGAAACCGCCAGGACGGAAAUCAACCGGGCCACCGUCAAUUACACCAAGGAUAUCGUCCGAAAGGUGUGCCCAUUAUUUUCAAUCUCCGACCGGAAUUAACGUCGUACCUUGGCCUUUGUCUGUGGCUCGCGGUGCACCAACUCUCAUUGCAAAAGAAAAGGAAAUAAAAAAAAAAGUUGGUCUUUCCUGGCCCUUA
Long non-coding RNA from Megalopta genalis, 686 nucleotides. RefSeq lists it as uncharacterized. The record is from RefSeq and is a predicted model, not a curated record. NCBI's taxonomy places the organism in Eukaryota, Metazoa, Arthropoda, Insecta, Hymenoptera, Halictidae.